This 1194-nucleotide ribosomal RNA is filed under the name uncultured Clostridiaceae bacterium. RNAcentral's name for it is "bacterial SSU rRNA". It matches the Rfam family "Bacterial small subunit ribosomal RNA", at positions 22 to 1236 of the family's 1533-position model. Lineage: Bacteria; Bacillati; Bacillota; Clostridia; Eubacteriales; Clostridiaceae. The record is from RNAcentral.
GCUCAGAUUGAACGCUGGCGGCGCGCCUAACACAUGCAAGUCGAACGGAACGCGGUGCUUCGGUAUCGUGUUUAGUGGCGGACGGGUGAGUAACGCGUGAGUAACCUGCCUUCAAGCGGGGGACAACGGAGGGAAACUUCCGCUAAUACCGCAUAACGUCGCGAAGUGGCAUCACUUUGCGACCAAAGAUUUAUCGCUUGAAGAUGGACUCGCGUCCAAUUAGAUAGUUGGUGAGGUAACGGCUCACCAAGUCGACGAUUGGUAGCCGGACUGAGAGGUUGAACGGCCACAUUGGGACUGAGAUACGGCCCAGACUCCUACGGGAGGCAGCAGUGGGGGAUAUUGCACAAUGGAGGAAACUCUGAUGCAGCGACGCCGCGUGAGGGAAGAAGGUUUUCGGAUUGUAAACCUCUGUCAGCGGGGAAGAUAAUGACGGUACCCGCGAAGGAAGCCACGGCUAACUACGUGCCAGCAGCCGCGGUAAUACGUAGGUGGCAAGCGUUGUCCGGAAUUACUGGGCGUAAAGGGAGUGUAGGCGGUUUGAUAAGUCAGUAGUGAAAGCCAUAGGCUCAACCUGUGGACUGCUAUUGAAACUGUCGGACUUGAGUGAGAUAGAGGCAAGUGGAAUUCUCGGUGUAGCGGUGGAAUGCUUAGAUAUCGGGAGGAACACCUGUGGCGAAGGCGACUUGCUGGGUCUUUACUGACGCUGAGGCUCGAAAGCGUGGGGAGCAAACAGGAUUAGAUACCCUGGUAGUCCACGCUGUAAACGAUGAUUACUAGGUGUAGGAGGAUAGAACCCUUCUGUGCCGGAGUUAACACAAUAAGUAAUCCGCCUGGGGAGUACGGUCGCAAGACUGAAACUCAAAGGAAUUGACGGGGGCCCGCACAAGCAGUGGAGUAUGUGGUUUAAUUCGACGCAACGCGAAGAACCUUACCAAGUCUUGACAUCAAGUGACCGCCGUAGAGAUACGGUUUUCCCUUCGGGGACACGAAGACAGGUGGUGCAUGGUUGUCGUCAGCUCGUGUCGUGAGAUGUUGGGUUAAGUCCCGCAACGAGCGCAACCCUUACGUUUAGUAGCUACAUUAAGUUGAGCACUCUAAAUGGACUGCCGUUGAUAAAACGGAGGAAGGUGGGGAUGACGUCAAAUCAUCAUGCCCUUUAUGACUUGGGCUACACACGUACUACAAUGGCGU